AACAUCAACUCCUCUGUGAUUUAGAGUGCGCACAUGACUACAAUCCUGUCUGUGCCACUAAUGGACAAACAUAUGACAACAAAUGCUUAUUGAACUGUCGCGGUGCAAAAUAUGCCCACAACGGCGCUUGCAAAGCCGCUGUACAACCUAAUCAGGAGGAUUCUACUACUCAGGCCCCAUAAGGAGCAAGGAGCCUACAAAUAAAAGACAGAAAUGAUAUUCAAAAUAAAUUAAAGCAAUAUAUCAUUUAAAA
Molecule: long non-coding RNA, 253 nt
Organism: Leptidea sinapis
Lineage: Eukaryota; Metazoa; Arthropoda; Insecta; Lepidoptera; Pieridae
Exons: 2
Source: RefSeq, a predicted model, not a curated record